GAGGGUGGUCUUCUGGGACAACAAGAAUUGCUAACUCUUAAUUUUAUGGUUAAACUCCAUAACUCUCCUC
RNAcentral lists this transfer RNA (70 nucleotides) under Micralestes sp. NM-2010. RNAcentral's name for it is "tRNA-Ser (AGY)". Lineage: Eukaryota; Metazoa; Chordata; Actinopteri; Characiformes; Alestidae. The record is from RNAcentral.